RNAcentral lists this long non-coding RNA (524 nucleotides) under Drosophila guanche. Lineage: Eukaryota; Metazoa; Arthropoda; Insecta; Diptera; Drosophilidae. The record is from RNAcentral.
AAAAACCGAACGCCGUGCAGUGAAUAUAAAUAUCAGUGAAUUUAAAUUUCACCUGGCCUAGAGCCAUCCCAACGUUUUUGGGCGAGCGUGCAAUCCACGCAACCCCAAACUUUUUGGACUGGCGUUCAAUCCACGCCAUCCACGACAGAAGAGAAAUAUAAUUAUCCACGGAAAUCCCGGAAAGAUUGGUAGGUCCAAUGUGGGAGAGACCCGAACAAAGGUUCUUAUAAUAGCUCUUGGCUGUAUUCCUUCCCCCCCCCACAGGGCUUCGCUACGCUUUCCCCCCACACUCAGCCAGAGCAGCAGCGCAUUGACGUUUUGUUGGCAAUACGCUGAGGGGUGGGGAAUUUUUCUUGGGAGACCGGUGGAAGCCCGGCUCCAGAACCUAUGUAACACCAUAGCCUGUAACUUCACAAUGACCAUGACGUAACCUUGCAGUAACCUCUGCGCAGGCGCCACAGCCGACAGUGUCGUACCGCUAAGAGGGCCACCAUUAUAUCUUAGGCUGCAAUCAAAGCCUAAAG